GAUGAACGCUGGCGGCGUGCCUAAUACAUGCAGGUAGAACGCUGAAGAGAGGAGCUUGCUCUUCUUGGACGAGUUGCGAACGGGUGAGUAACGCGUAGGUAACCUGCCUUGUAGCGGGGGAUAACUAUUGGAAACGAUAGCUAAUACCGCAUAACAAUAGGUGACACAUGUCAUUUAUUUGAAAGGGGCAAUUGCUCCACUACAAGAUGGACCUGCGUUGUAUUAGCUAGUAGGUGAGGUAACGGCUCACCUAGGCGACGAUACAUAGCCGACCUGAGAGGGUGAUCGGCCACACUGGGACUGAGACACGGCCCAGACUCCUACGGGAGGCAGCAGUAGGGAAUCUUCGGCAAUGGGGGCAACCCUGACCGAGCAACGCCGCGUGAGUGAAGAAGGUUUUCGGAUCGUAAAGCUCUGUUGUAAGUCAAGAACGAGUGUGAGAGUGGAAAGUUCACACUGUGACGGUAGCUUACCAGAAAGGGACGGCUAACUACGUGCCAGCAGCCGCGGUAAUACGUAGGUCCCGAGCGUUGUCCGGAUUUAUUGGGCGUAAAGCGAGCGCAGGCGGUUUGAUAAGUCUGAAGUUAAAGGCUGUGGCUCAACCAUAGUUUGCUUUGGAGACUGUCAAACUUGAGUGCAGAAGGUGAUAGUCGAAUUCCCAUGCGUAUCGCUGAAAUGUGUAGAUCUAUGGUGGGAUCACCGGGGGGUGAAAACGG
This 716-nucleotide ribosomal RNA is filed under the name uncultured Streptococcus sp. RNAcentral's name for it is "bacterial SSU rRNA". It matches the Rfam family "Bacterial small subunit ribosomal RNA", at positions 28 to 724 of the family's 1533-position model. Lineage: Bacteria; Bacillati; Bacillota; Bacilli; Lactobacillales; Streptococcaceae. The record is from RNAcentral.